Molecule: ribosomal RNA, 497 nt
Filed under: uncultured bacterium
Lineage: Bacteria
Description: partial 16S ribosomal RNA
Rfam family: Bacterial small subunit ribosomal RNA
Source: RNAcentral
GAUGAACGCUGGCGGCGUGCCUAAUACAUGCAAGUCGAGCGAACGGACGAGAAGCUUGCUUCUCUGAUGUUAGCGGCGGACGGGUGAGUAACACGUGGAUAACCUACCUAUAAGACUGGGAUAACUUCGGGAAACCGGAGCUAAUACCGGAUGAUAUUUUGAACCGCAUGGUUCAAAAGUGAAAGACGGUCUUGCUGUCACUUAUAGAUGGAUCCGCGCUGCAUUUGCUAGUUGGUAAGGUAACGGCUUACAAAGGCAACGAUGCAUAGCCGACCUGAGAGAGUGAUCGGACACACUGGAACUGAGACACGGUCCAGACUCCUACGGGAGGCAGCAGUAGGGAAUCUUCCGCAAUGGGCGAAAGCCUGACGGAGCAACGCCGCGUGAGUGAUGAAGGUCUUCGGAUCGUAAAACUCUGUUAUUAGGGAAGAACAUAUGUGUAAGUAACUGUGCACAUCUUGACGGUACCUAAUCAGAAAGCCACGGCUAACUACGUG